UACGGAGGGUGCGAGCGUUGUCCGGAAUCAUUGGGCGUAAAGGGCGCGUAGGUGGCGGGACAAGCGUGCGGUGAAAGCUUGGGGCUCAACCCCGAGUCGGCCGUGCGAACUGUCUUGCUUGAGCACUGUAGAGGCAGGCGGAAUUCCGGGUGUAGCGGUGGAAUGCGUAGAGAUCCGGAAGAACACCGGUGGCGAAGGCGGCCUGCUGGGCAGUAGCUGACACUGAGGCGCGACAGCGUGGGGAGCAAACAGG
Molecule: ribosomal RNA, 253 nt
Filed under: uncultured bacterium
Lineage: Bacteria
Description: partial 16S ribosomal RNA
Rfam family: Bacterial small subunit ribosomal RNA
Source: RNAcentral